Prionailurus viverrinus (fishing cat) is the source of this 5110-nucleotide long non-coding RNA. RefSeq lists it as uncharacterized. NCBI's taxonomy places the organism in Eukaryota, Metazoa, Chordata, Mammalia, Carnivora, Felidae. The record is from RefSeq and is a predicted model, not a curated record. The transcript is spliced from 2 exons.
CGCAGGCGCAGUCCUGUCGCGGCGGCCCGGUCCCCGGGCCCGACUGGGCGACGGCGCAGGCGCAGUUUGGGCGUCCCGGCCCCGCCCCCGGGUCGGCUGGCGGGUGGGCGGCUGGAACGUCUGCGGGCGGUGGCGGGUCUGGCGGCCUGCGCCGCAUUCCUGGGUCGCCUGUUGGCGGCGGCCCGCUCGCGGUGGCCCGGCGCCCAGCCCGUCCUGCAGCAGAGCCGCGGAGCCUCGGGGCGGGGACCCUCCCCCCCACCUGCGGCGGACGCGGGGCCGACCUUCCCGCGGGGCCCACGGUCGCGGGACGGCCGCGCCGGGAGCCCGGCUUACCCUGAAGCCGCGCCGAGUGUCCUCCUUCGUGCAUGGUGCUGCGAGGGCUGCCGCGGCUUCGUGCGCCGUGCGUCUAAGCCCUUAAUUCUAAGACGAUAAGGUGCUUCCAUGCGCGGCCUCGCUCACUGCAGCACGGGGAUUAAAACUUAAGCCCUGCGGGGGGCCGGGGAAAGACCCUCUGUGCAGCGCCCGGCGCCCCGGCGACCUCGUCCUGAGCAGCCCCUCGGGGGAAGGCCCGGCGCCAGCAGGUGCUGAGCGCGCGGGAACGCGGGCGGGCUUCGGGGUGUGUACGCCUCUGGACGUGUAAUGUGCAGUUGCCGAAUACAGACUUGUGUGCGGGCCACACAGAUGGUGCACACUGAAUUUACCUUGUGUUGUGCGAACGUGAGACAAGCGUGCACUUUACAAAGUCUGAACGAUUAGGAGAUUCAAACGUCGCUGUCCUGAUGGAGUUGUACUGGAAGGGGACCAAGCCCGCCCACUCACGUCCUGCCUACAGCAGCUUUCCCAAGGCACAGGCCAAGUUCAGGAGUGGAAAGAGACACGUGACUGCAACAGCUAUGAAUACCUGCUCUCUAGCCCUUUGCAGAAGUUGUGGACUCCUGCCCUGGAUGAAUGAACAGCCUCCUGCCUCAUCCCUGCUGUGCUCACCUGUCUACCGACACCCUCAGGGGGCUCUCUGUUUCCCCCAAAGCCAGAGUUCUUACAGUCGAGGUGACCAGGCCCGCACUGCCCUCCCUCGCUGACCCGACUCCAGCCACCCUGUCCUCUGUGCCCCACCUCAGGGCCUUGGCUCUGGCUGUUCCCUCCAACCGGAAAGCUUUUCCUCAAUUGUGGCUGCCUCACCCCUCACCUCUUCAGGUCUUUGCCCACACGUCACUGUGCCGGGGAAGCUCUCUCUGACCACUCUGUGAGGCACGUCCCUCCCCUCACCCCCUCCCCCAGCUUCGUGGCCGGCCUCCCUGACUGCAAUCGAUGCUCCGAGAGCGGAGGGCCUUGUUUGUCGUGUGCACUGACGUGUGCCACCCAGCACGAGAAGACCAAGCACGUCCUAAGUCGUGGCAGAAGAUGUUGACUGAGUCCCCACGACUGCCAGGAGCCGAGCUAGGUGGGGACGGGAAAGGUUCCGCUAGCAGAACGGCAGCGACCCUUCCUCCCUCCGACAGGUCAGCCAGGCGUGGCCCGCGCUGACCCUUCGUAGGAAUGAUUGAGUCCACAUGGCGGUCGUGUAACUUAAUGCCUGAACGGGACGCUCUGGGCACGAAGUGGAGUGCUACUUCUAGUGGCGAAGCCAGCACCAGCACAAACUGGAACUGUCCCAGCGAGUCGGGAUGCACGGUGACUGCGUUGAACGGCCGUGUCCGUCCACUUAGUAAAUCUUUGAUGAGCGCCUUCCACCCUGUGCAAGGCCGGGGCAGGGUCGAGAGGUGAGGGGUGGCGGCAGGUGGACGCCAAGCCUGGCCUGGGAGGGGGAGCUGCGGCCGCCGGGGUGCAGUUGGACAGUGACAGCAGCCGAACCCCAAAGCUCUGUACUCCGGAAUCGACGUGCUCUCAGUACUCCCCGUCUGGAUACCGCGAUACCCGCAUCCGGGUGUCUCCAUUGCUGCUCUCCCCGGGACCUCUCGGGCCUCCUGGGGUGGGGGCUGGAACGGAGGCUGCAGGGCCCCUGGGACCAGCGAGAGGAAGCGCCCCUGCGGCCACCACCUGUGAAGUGUUUUCAUCUUCCCUUCGCUGUUAGAGGCAAGAGAACUCCAGACUACUGAUGUAGAUGUGUGAGGGUGUCCCCACAGUUUGCCUCCGGGGACUCUUGGCCAGGAGUGACCUUCCUUUUUGGGGGUAGGUGAGCUUCCGGAAAGCCUGCCAUGCAGCCCUGAAACCUCGGAGCUGUGCCAGAUGGUUCUUGCCUUGGUGACGUUGAUGUCAUGGUGCCGCCAGCCUGGGGAGUGACGCGGCCAGAAACAGGAAGGCGCAGAGGCCCCUGGCACAGAGUAGGUGUGCCGUGAACACUGGCUGCCUAUAGCUGACAUCAGGACAGGCGACCCAGUGUGCCCGGGGCCACCGCCCAGCCCCCAGCCCCCAGCCACAGCCCUGCCGCUGAGACCUCAGGGCUUCCCUUUCCCCACCUCUCAGGUGAUGUAGUGAGGGGCAUGAGGACGCUGUGAAGCAGGAGGGUAGGAGUUGUGCCCGCUGGAACCCCCACACCUCCAGACCUGCCCCUCUGCUCCGAGGGUGGACGGGUCCUGUUCAGGUAGGGGCCCAAAGGGGGAGGCACCUGGCUGGCCGGGAAAGUGAGGACGAGGAAGCAGCUGGGAAUAAGCCCUGGGAGACUCCAUUGGGGUUUGGCCCCUUCCUGGGGUGUAGAAGAGGGGAGUGGAGGAGAACUGGGGAUGACCGUGUCAGGUCGCUCAUGGUGCGGGGAGGUGCUGAGGUGAUGGUCCCGGGGGUGAACCGUGGCAUGUUCACGUGCAGACCCUGCAGGGGCCUAAGGAGAGAAAUGCCAGAAUUGGCAAGGGACCCAGGCAGACAGGAGCUGCAGAUGGGGCACCAGCAGCAGUGAUGACCUCAGGGGAAAUGGAGUGAAAGCCGGAAGCUCACAGCAGCGCCUACCUGGAGGGGCCUUGUGGCUGGGAUGGGGUCCUAGGGAGCACACAGGGCAUCGAGCACCAGGGCCCUGGGCCAGGAACCAGCUCCUGUGGUUCCUUACAGGAACCAGUAAGCCGAGCAGGAAGAGGCCAGAUCAGGAAGGGGCUUGAGGGUCUUCCAAGGUUGGAGUGGGCAAGGGUCCAGGGAGGAGGACAGGCGGUAAAGCCAGACUGGAUGGUGACAUAACCCCAGGGGAGCAGCUGUGGCUGCUGCUGGAGGGAGCCGAGGGAACCCAAGAGGCGUCCUAGAGAAGAAUUCAGAAGGGAUGCGCCGGUGGGAGCAGACCCCGAGUGGUGCAGGGACUCGGGUGGACGCCCGCGCUGGCCCCGGCCUUCGCUCAGGAGGACACCAGCCUGCGGCAGCUGGCUCCGUUUUAUCUUCCAAGGUGGAAGUGGCUUUGCAGUUUAUGGCCAUUUCUAGGGUUGCCGGAUGUAGCAAGUAAAAGUACACAUGUUGUAUGGGGCAUCUUCACACUAAAAAAUUACUUAUUUGAAAUUUGAAGUUUAUCUGGGUAUACUGUAUUUCCUCUAGCAACUGCAACCAUAACAGGUAUAAAUAAUCCAGCUAACACGAAAAUAAAAAGUGAGAACUCUCUACAAUCCCACCCCAAAAGGGUAAUCUCGAAAGCAAUUCGAUGUGUAUCUUGCCCAGGUGUUUUUUUUUUUUUUUUUUUUAAUGUUUAUUUUUGAGAGAGAGAGACAGGGCAUGAGCAGGGGAGGGGCAGAAAGAGAGAGGGAGACAGAAUCCGAAGCAGGCUCCAGGCUCCAAGCUGUCAGCACAGAGGCCGACGCGGGGCCCGAGCCCACGAACCGUGAGAUCAUGACCUGAGCCGAAGGCAGGCACUUAACCAACUGAGCCCCCCAGGUGUCCCUUGCCCAGGGUUUUCAUACAAGCUUGCAGAUCAAAAGAACAAAAAGGAUUUUGCUGUAUGUAUUCUUCUCUAAUCUGAUUUCACUUAACGAAACACCUAUUUCCAUGUGAAAUCAGCCCAGCUGUGUCCAGCUCCCUGUCUGGAACCGUUCUCGGAGAAGCCGGCCUGCUCUGACACCGCGGUGGGUCCCUCCGGUUAUUUCAUCAGAAAACAUGCUUAGCAGUGGAAUUUUUUUAAUUGAAGAUUUUAUGGAGAUAGUUACAGACUCCUACGCAAUUCCAAGAAAUAAUGCUAAAGGGCCCCUGGUACAGGUGAGCUAGACUUACCCAAUGGUAACUAACGUUCUUUAAAAGGGUAGCGGGAGAAUCACAGCCAGAAUAGUGACGCUGAUAUGGUUCACUGACUUUGUUCCACUUCCCCCAGUUUUACUUGUCCUAAUGUAUGCAUCAAAUUCUGGACGUUUAUUUUUAUUUUUUUUUAAUAUUUAUUUCUGAGAGACAGAGUGAGACAGAGCAUGAGCAGGGAAGGGACAGAGAGCGAGGGAGACAGAAUCUGAAGCCAGCUCCAGGCUCUGAGCUGUCAGCACAGAGCCCAACACGGGGCUCGAACUCAUGAACCGUGAGAUCAUGACCUGAGCCGAAGUUGGACGCUCAACCGACUGAGCCACCCAGGCACCUCUUACUUCCCCGUUUUAGAAGUUGUAUUUAGUUGGAUGUACAGAGAGAGAUGAGUCCACAUCAUCUACUCUUGAACCAGAAGUCCCUGGUGUUAUUUUUUCGUUUUACUUAUGUAAGUAUUUCUUCAAUGUAUUUUUACAACAGCUUUCUUAAGAUAUAAUUCACAUACCAUACAAUUCACUCAUUUAAAAUGUACAAUUUAAUGGUUUGUAGUGUAUGUGUGGGGUUGUGAAACCCUCACCACUCAAUCUUAGAACACCAUCAUCCCCAAAGAAACCCCAUACCCAUUAAAAGUCAGUCCCCAUUUCUUCCUCCCCUGAGGCCUGACAACCACAGAUAUGCUUUCUGUGUCUAUAGAUUGGCCUAUCAUUGACAUUUCACAUAAAUGGAAUCAUUCAAUAUGUGGCCUGUGGGCAUCUUUCCUUUGCGUAAUGUUUUCAAGAUUCAUCCGUGUAAUUUCAGUACUCUGUUCCUUUGUUUGUGGACACAUAACAUUUUAUCUGUCUAUGCAUCUGUUGAUGGCCAUUUGGUUUAUUUUCACUUACUGACUAUUGUGAAUAACAUUGCUGUGAAUCUCCCUGUACAA